Molecule: ribosomal RNA, 381 nt
Filed under: uncultured bacterium
Lineage: Bacteria
Description: bacterial SSU rRNA
Rfam family: Bacterial small subunit ribosomal RNA
Source: RNAcentral
ACUCCUACGGGAGGCAGCAGUGGGGAAUAUUGCACAAUGGGGGGAAACCCUGAUGCAGCCAUGCCGCGUGUGUGAAGAAGGCCUUCGGGUUGUAAAGCACUUUCAGUAGGGAGGAAGGUAGUGUAGUUAACACCUGCAUUAUUUGUACGUUACCUACAGAAGAAGCACCGGCUAACUCCGUGCCAGCAGCCGCGGUAAGUACGGAGGGUGCGAGCGUUAAUCGGAAUUACGUGGGCGUAAAGCGCAUGCGAGGCGGCCUGUUAAGUCAGAUGUGAAAGCCCGGGGCUUAACCGUCGGAAUUGCAUUUGAAACUGGCAGGCUAGAGUCUUGUAGGAGGGGUUAGAAUUUCGAGGUGUAGCGGUGAAAUGCGUAGAGAUCUAG